Molecule: ribosomal RNA, 398 nt
Filed under: uncultured bacterium
Lineage: Bacteria
Description: partial 16S ribosomal RNA
Rfam family: Bacterial small subunit ribosomal RNA
Source: RNAcentral
AUACGUAGGGUGCGAGCGUUGUCCGGAAUUACUGGGCGUAAAGAGCUCGUAGGUGGUUUGUCGCGUCGUCUGUGAAAUUCCGGGGCUUAACUCCGGGCGUGCAGGCGAUACGGGCAUAACUUGAGUACUGUAGGGGAGACUGGACUUCCUGGUGUAGCGGUGAAAUGCGCAGAUAUCAGGAGGAACACCGGUGGCGAAGGGGGGUCUCUGGGCAGUAACUGACGCUGAGGAGCGAAAGCAUGGGUAGCGAACAGGAUUAGAUACCCUGGUAGUCCAUGCCGUAAACGGUGGGCGCUAGGUGUAGGGGUCUUCCACGACUUCUGUGCCGUAGCUAACGCAUUAAGCGCCCCGCCUGGGGAGUACGGCCGCAAGGCUAAAACUCAAAUGAAUUGACGGGG